This 401-nucleotide ribosomal RNA is filed under the name uncultured Glomeromycotina. Its description in RNAcentral is "SSU rRNA". It matches the Rfam family "Eukaryotic small subunit ribosomal RNA", at positions 678 to 1077 of the family's 1831-position model. The record is from RNAcentral. Lineage: Eukaryota; Fungi; Glomeromycota.
GUACUAGCUUGCUGAUUCCUCCUUCUUGUAGAACCGUAAUGCCAUUAAUUUGGUGUUGCGGGGAAACAGGACUGUUACUUUGAAAAAAUUAGAGUGUUUAAAGCAGGCUAGCGCCUGAAUACAUUAGCAUGGAAUAAUGAAAUAGGACGUUCGAACCUAUUUUGUUGGUUUCUAGGAUUGACGUAAUGAUUAAUAGGGAUAGUUGGGGGCAUUAGUAUUCAAUUGUCAGAGGUGAAAUUCUUGGAUUUAUUGAAGACAGACUACUGCGAAAGCAUUUGCCAAGAAUGUUUUCAUUAAUCAAGAACGAAAGUUAGGGGAUCGAAGACGAUCAGAUACCGUCGUAGUCUUAACCAUAAACUAUGCCGACUAGGGAUCGGAUGAUGUUAAUUUUUUAAUGACUC